This 404-nucleotide ribosomal RNA is filed under the name Actinomycetes bacterium. RNAcentral's name for it is "Actinobacteria bacterium partial 16S ribosomal RNA". It matches the Rfam family "Bacterial small subunit ribosomal RNA", at positions 355 to 776 of the family's 1533-position model. The record is from RNAcentral. Lineage: Bacteria; Bacillati; Actinomycetota; Actinomycetes.
UGGGGAAUAUUGGACAAUGGGCGCAAGCCUGAUCCAGCCAUGCCGCGUGAGUGAUGAAGGCCCUAGGGUUGUAAAGCUCUUUCACCGGUGAAGAUAAUGACGGUAACCGGAGAAGAAGCCCCGGCUAACAUCGUGCCAGCAGCCGCGGUAAUACGAAGGGGGGUAGAGUUGUUACGAUUUACUGGGCGUAAAGCGCACGUAGGCGGACUAUUAAGUCAGGGGUGAAAUCCCGGGGCUCAACCCCGGGACUGCCUUUGAUACUGGUAGUCUUGAGUACUAGAGAGGUGUGUGGCAUUCCGAGUGUAGAUGUGAUAUUCGUAGAUAUUCAGAGGAACACCAGUAGCGAAGGCCGCUCACUGGCUCGAUACUGUCGCUGAGGUGCGAAAGCGUGGGGAGCACACAAG